ACGGAGAUAGUUCUAAUGGUAAAACGGAGGACUCCAAAUCCUCUUUUCGGGGUUCAAAUCCUCGUCUCCGUG
Molecule: transfer RNA, 72 nt
Filed under: Prevotella sp.
Lineage: Bacteria; Pseudomonadati; Bacteroidota; Bacteroidia; Bacteroidales; Prevotellaceae
Description: tRNA-Trp
Rfam family: tRNA
About the family: Transfer RNA (tRNA) molecules are approximately 80 nucleotides in length. Their secondary structure includes four short double-helical elements and three loops (D, anti-codon, and T loops).
Source: RNAcentral